This 288-nucleotide unclassified non-coding RNA is filed under the name Arachnotheca sp. RNAcentral describes it as "partial contains 5.8S ribosomal RNA, internal transcribed spacer 2, and large subunit ribosomal RNA". The stretch from base 1 to 71 matches the Rfam family "5.8S ribosomal RNA", at positions 84 to 154 of the family's 154-position model. The record is from RNAcentral. Lineage: Eukaryota; Fungi; Ascomycota; Eurotiomycetes; Onygenales; Onygenaceae.
GUGAAUCAUCGAAUCUUUGAACGCACAUUGCGCCCUCUGGUAUUCCGGGGGGCAUGCCUGUCCGAGCGUCAUUACAACCCUCAAGCCCGGCUUGUGUUAUGGGCGUCGUCCCCGUGUGGACGUGCCCCAAAUUCAGUGACCUGGGCCGCGAUUUCGGCGCCCGAGCGAAUGGGAUUACCACUAGCUCGAACGGCACGACCGGCCCCGGGUCCCCAAACCAAUUAUCAAGGUUGACCUCGGAUCAGGUAGGGAUACCCGCUGAACUUAAGCAUAUCAAUAAGCGGAGGA